AUGUGAUGAGGCAAUUUUCUUAAUAAUUCCUUGAAUCUAUCCCAUUCCUCAUACAAGGAUUCAUCAUCCAAUUUUUGGAAGGUAGUGAUCUCUCUUCGUAACUU
Non-coding RNA from Gossypium raimondii (Peruvian cotton), 104 nucleotides. The record is from Rfam. NCBI's taxonomy places the organism in Eukaryota, Viridiplantae, Streptophyta, Magnoliopsida, Malvales, Malvaceae.